AGUGAACGCUGGCGGUAGGCCUAACACAUGCAAGUCGAACGGCAGCACAGUAAGAGCUUGCUCUUACGGGUGGCGAGUGGCGGGCGGGUGAGGAAUACAUCGGAAUCUACUUUUUCGUGGGGGAUAACGUAGGGAAACUUACGCUAAUGCCGCAUACGACCUACGGGUGAAAGCAGGGGAUCUUCGGACCUUGCGCGAUUGAAUGAGCCGAUGUCGGAUUAGCUAGUUGGCGGGGUAAAGGCCCACCAAGGCGACGAUCCGUAGCUGGUCUGAGAGGAUGAUCAGCCACACUGGAACUGAGACACGGUCCAGACUCCUACGGGAGGCAGCAGUGGGGAAUAUUGGACAAUGGGCGCAAGCCUGAUCCAGCCAUACCGCGUGGGUGAAGAAGGCCUUCGGGUUGUAAAGCCCUUUUGUUGGGAAAGAAAAGCAGCAGGUUAAUACCCCGCUGUUCUGACGGUACCCAAAGAAUAAGCACCGGCUAACUUCGU
Molecule: ribosomal RNA, 491 nt
Filed under: uncultured bacterium
Lineage: Bacteria
Description: partial 16S ribosomal RNA
Rfam family: Bacterial small subunit ribosomal RNA
Source: RNAcentral